RNAcentral lists this ribosomal RNA (301 nucleotides) under uncultured bacterium. RNAcentral describes it as "partial 16S ribosomal RNA". It matches the Rfam family "Bacterial small subunit ribosomal RNA", at positions 509 to 807 of the family's 1533-position model. The record is from RNAcentral.
CAGUCGCCGCGGUAAUGCGGAGGGAGCUAGCGUUGUUCGGAAUUACUGGGCGUAAAGCGCGCGUAGGCGGUUACUCAAGUCAGAGGUGAAAGCCCGGGGCUCAACCCCGGAACUGCCUUUGAAACUAGGUGACUAGAAUCUUGGAGAGGUCAGUGGAAUUCCGAGUGUAGAGGUGAAAUUCGUAGAUAUUCGGAAGAACACCAGUGGCGAAGGCGACUGACUGGACAAGUAUUGACGCUGAGGUGCGAAAGCGUGGGGAGCAAGCAGGAUUAGAUACCCCCGUAGUCCCUGUCUCUUAUAC